This 419-nucleotide ribosomal RNA is filed under the name uncultured Prevotella sp. Its description in RNAcentral is "bacterial SSU rRNA". It matches the Rfam family "Bacterial small subunit ribosomal RNA", at positions 358 to 774 of the family's 1533-position model. Lineage: Bacteria; Pseudomonadati; Bacteroidota; Bacteroidia; Bacteroidales; Prevotellaceae. The record is from RNAcentral.
GGAAUAUUGGUCAAUGGGCGAGAGCCUGAACCAGCCAAGUAGCGUGCAGGACGACGGCCCUAUGGGUUGUAAACUGCUUUUAUGCGGGGAUAAAGUGCGGCACGUGUGCCGUUUUGUAGGUACCGUAUGAAUAAGGACCGGCUAAUUCCGUUCCAGCAGCCGCGGUAAUACGGAAGGUCCGGGCGUUAUCCGGAUUUAUUGGGUUUAAAGGGAGCGCAGGCUGAAGAUUAAGCGUGACGUGAAAUGUCCCGGCUCAACCGUGGAACUGCGUCGCGAACUGGUUUUCUUGAGUGAGUACGACGUCAGCGGAAUUUGGGGUGUAGCGGUGAAAUGCUUAGAUAUCACGAAGAACCCCGAUUGCGAAGGCAGCUGACGAGUCCUUAACUGACGCUAAAGCUCGAAAGUGCGGGUAUCGAACA